This 908-nucleotide unclassified non-coding RNA is filed under the name Hevea brasiliensis (rubber tree). Lineage: Eukaryota; Viridiplantae; Streptophyta; Magnoliopsida; Malpighiales; Euphorbiaceae. The record is from RNAcentral.
CAUCAGCAAAAUCAACCACAAGAGGAAAGCAUGUCUAAUUUGACUUCAGCUUCCGGCGAAGCAAGCGUUUCUUCAGGUAACAGAAAUGAAACUUGCACCAACUAUCCUCCUCAACAAUACGUCGCUCCUCCAGCUCCUCAAAUUCAACCUGUCAAGAAGAAGAGAAACCUGCCAGGAAAUCCAGACCCAGAUGCAGAAGUGAUAGCCUUAUCACCCAAGACUCUAAUGGCAACAAAUAGAUUUGUAUGUGAGAUCUGUAAUAAGGGAUUUCAAAGAGAUCAGAAUCUUCAGCUUCAUAGAAGAGGGCAUAAUCUGCCGUGGAAGCUGAAGCAAAGAACAAACAAGGAGGUAAGGAAGAAGGUGUAUGUCUGCCCAGAAUCUAGCUGCGUCCACCAUGACCCAUCAAGGGCUCUUGGUGACCUGACAGGAAUCAAGAANGCACUUUUUCAGAAAGCAUGGUGAGAAGAAGUGGAAAUGUGACAAGUGCUCAAAGAGGUACGCAGUUCAAUCAGAUUGGAAGGCUCACUCCAAGACCUGUGGCACUAGGGAAUACAGAUGUGACUGUGGAACCCUUUUCUCAAGGAGGGACAGUUUCAUCACCCACAGAGCUUUCUGUGAUGCUUUAGCAGAGGAGAGUGCACGAGCUAUCACAGGAGCACCAAACCCAGUAGCUCAGCCCGCUCCAGGUUCUUCAACUAGUCAUAAUAUAAAUCUCCAAAUGCCCCAAUUCAAUGCUACCAGUACUCAAGGCUUGCAUGCAUUUUCACUUAAAAAAGAGCUACAAAGUUUUAGUCUAAGGCCAGAGUUACCACCAUGGCUUGCUUGCCCUCCAGGACUAGGGGCUGGGGCUGGUCCUGGCCCACCACAUCAUUGGCAGAUACCCGUUGAUCAUCUCUCCUCCUCCUCAU